GCGUGAUUAGCAGAGCAGUGAGACCGAAAAGGCAAAAGAUAUUUCUUCAGCUACCGGGAGUCCGCUUGGAGUACCGUUUUCACAUUCUUUUAUUCUUGAAUAAUUACCGGAAUAUUCUGGAAUUCUUGCAUUUCCCGGGUUUUGGCACCAGUUGUCGCAUGUCGCGACGCACCCCUUUGGUGGACAGGAGAGUUGGACACAGAGUGACGCGAGAAUUCCCACUAACUCCCACAAACCAAGCCCUGCCACAAUCAUAAACAGCUUGCUGACUUUGCUUUGCAAACACAAUGCAUCACAUUCGUUUAGCUUACAAUGUGAGACACUGAACUAUAUUCAUCUGAUUGAUAUGGAAAUCCAGACCCAGCACACAACAUUCCCAGCCCAAUGAGAAUAGAUGUAAGAUCACAGAAGCACUGGUGCAAGUUAGCUAUUCUAAUCAAGAAUCAAAACAUGCAAAUACGAAACGCAUACAUAACAAGCUCGUAGGAGAGAAACGUCAAACCGUAAAAAUAUGACCUAAAGCUAUAAAAAAAUACCACAACCUGUACUAAUAUGAAAAAGGUGAGAGUGCUACAGGGUGGUGAUGGGAGAGGAACCAGGAGGAGGAGGUGGAGGGUCCAUCAUCCGUGUCAGAUGAUUGCCAGAAUUCAGCUCUCCUACCACUU
Anguilla anguilla (European eel) is the source of this 665-nucleotide long non-coding RNA. RefSeq lists it as uncharacterized. NCBI's taxonomy places the organism in Eukaryota, Metazoa, Chordata, Actinopteri, Anguilliformes, Anguillidae. The transcript has 3 exons. The record is from RefSeq and is a predicted model, not a curated record.